This 497-nucleotide ribosomal RNA is filed under the name uncultured bacterium. RNAcentral's name for it is "partial 16S ribosomal RNA". It matches the Rfam family "Bacterial small subunit ribosomal RNA", at positions 28 to 507 of the family's 1533-position model. The record is from RNAcentral.
GAUGAACGCUGGCGGCGUGCCUAAUACAUGCAAGUCGAGCGAACAGACGAGGGGCUUGCUCCUCUGACGUUAGCGGCGGACGGGUGAGUAACACGUGGAUAACCUACCUAUAAGACUGGGAUAACUUCGGGAAACCGGAGCUAAUACCGGAUAAUAUAUUGAACCGCAUGGUUCAAUAGUGAAAGACGGUUUUGCUGUCACUUAUAGAUGGAUCCGCGCCGCAUUAGCUAGUUGGUAAGGUAACGGCUUACCAAGGCGACGACGCGUAGCCGACCUGAGAGGGUGAUCGGCCACACUGGAACUGAGACACGGUCCAGACUCCUACGGGAGGCAGCAGUAGGGAAUCUUCCGCAAUGGGCGAAAGCCUGACGGAGCAACGCCGCGUGAGUGAUGAAGGUCUUCGGAUCGUAAAACUCUGUCAUUAGGGAAGAACAAAUGUGUAAGUAACUAUGCACGUCUUGACGGUACCUAAUCAGAAAGCCACGGCUAACUACGUG